UAAGGAAUAUUGCUCAAUGGGAGAAAUCCUGAAGCAGCAACGCCGCGUGGAGGAUGAAGGGUCUAUGACUUGUAAACUCCUGUAAAGAAGGAAAAAAUUCCCAUUAGAUGGGAGAUGAUGGUACUUCUGGAGUAAGCCCCGGCUAACUACGUGCCAGCAGCCGCGGUAAUACGUAGGGGGCAAGCGUUGUCCGGAUUUACUGGGUGUAAAGGGUGCUCAGGCGGAUUUGUAAGUCAGAGGUGAAAUCUUACAGCUUAACUGUGAAACUGCCUUUGAUACUGCAAGCCUAGAGUAUGGAAGAGAGUGAUGGAAUAUCUGGUGUAGCAGUGAAAUGCGUAGAUAUCAGAUAGAACACCAAUGGCGAAGGCAGUUACUUGGUCCAUUACUGACGCUAAAGCACGAAAGCGUGGGUAGCAAACA
This 420-nucleotide ribosomal RNA is filed under the name uncultured bacterium. RNAcentral's name for it is "bacterial SSU rRNA". It matches the Rfam family "Bacterial small subunit ribosomal RNA", at positions 355 to 774 of the family's 1533-position model. The record is from RNAcentral.